Molecule: small nuclear RNA, 131 nt
Filed under: Notamacropus eugenii (tammar wallaby)
Lineage: Eukaryota; Metazoa; Chordata; Mammalia; Diprotodontia; Macropodidae
Description: U4 spliceosomal RNA (ENSMEUG00000017925.1)
Source: RNAcentral
AGCAUUGCACAGUGUCAGUAUUGUAGACAAUGAGGUUUAUUCGGGGUGUGAUUAUUAGUAAUUGAAAAUUUUUCCCAGUACCCCUCCAUGAUGACUUGAAAUGUAGUCAGUAUUUUACAUUCAACUGAGAA